GUAGGUGGCAAGCGUUGUCCGGAAUUAUUGGGCGUAAAGCGCGCGCAGGCGGUUCUUUAAGUCUGAUGUGAAAGCCCACGGCUCAACCGUGGAGGGUCAUUGGAAACUGGAGAACUUGAGUACAGAAGAGGAAAGCGGAAUUCCACGUUUAGCGGUGAAAUGCGUAGAGAUGUGGAGGAACACCAGUGGCGAAGGCGGCUUUCUGGUCUGUAACUGACGCUGAGGCGCGAAAGCGUGGGGAGCAAACAGGGAUUAGAUACCCUGGUAGUCCACGCCGUAAACGAUGAGUGCUAAGUGUUAGGGGGUUUCCCGCCCCUUAGUGCUGCAGCUAACGCAUUAAGCACUCCGCCUGGGGAGUACGGCCGCAAGGCUG
Molecule: ribosomal RNA, 373 nt
Filed under: uncultured organism
Description: partial 16S ribosomal RNA
Rfam family: Bacterial small subunit ribosomal RNA
Source: RNAcentral